This 492-nucleotide ribosomal RNA is filed under the name uncultured bacterium. RNAcentral describes it as "partial 16S ribosomal RNA". It matches the Rfam family "Bacterial small subunit ribosomal RNA", at positions 29 to 507 of the family's 1533-position model. The record is from RNAcentral.
AGUGAACGCUGGCGGUAGGCCUAACACAUGCAAGUCGAACGGCAGCACAGUAAGAGCUUGCUCUUACGGGUGGCGAGUGGCGGACGGGUGAGGAAUACAUCGGAAUCUACUUUUUCGUGGGGGAUAACGUAGGGAAACUUACGCUAAUACCGCAUACGACCUACGGGUGAAAGCAGGGGAUCUUCGGACCUUGCGCGAUUGAAUGAGCCGAUGUCGGAUUAGCUAGUUGGCGGGGUAAAGGCCCACCAAGGCGUCGAUCCGUAGCUGGUCUGAGAGGAUGAUCAGCCGCACUGGAACGGAGACACGGUCCAGACUACUACGGGAGGCAGCAGUGGCGAAUAUUGGACAAUGGGCGCAAGCCUGAUCCAGCCAUACCGCGUGGGUGAAGAAGGCCUUCGGGUUGUAAAGCCCUUUUGUUGGGAAAGAAAAGCAGCCGGCUAAUACCCCGCUGUUCUGACGGUACCCAAAGAAUAAGCAACGGCUAACUUCGUG